This 72-nucleotide transfer RNA is filed under the name Camelus ferus (Wild Bactrian camel). It matches the Rfam family "tRNA". Rfam says of the family: Transfer RNA (tRNA) molecules are approximately 80 nucleotides in length. Their secondary structure includes four short double-helical elements and three loops (D, anti-codon, and T loops). The record is from Rfam by way of RNAcentral. Lineage: Eukaryota; Metazoa; Chordata; Mammalia; Artiodactyla; Camelidae.
GUGGAUAUAGCUCAGUGGUAGAGCACAUGCCUAGCAUACAUGAGGUCCUGGGUUCAAUCCCCAGUACCUCCA